This 253-nucleotide ribosomal RNA is filed under the name uncultured bacterium. RNAcentral's name for it is "partial 16S ribosomal RNA". It matches the Rfam family "Bacterial small subunit ribosomal RNA", at positions 524 to 776 of the family's 1533-position model. The record is from RNAcentral.
UACGUAGGGGGCCAGCGUUGUCCGGAUUCAUUGGGCGUAAAGCGCGUGUAGGCGGCCAGGUAGGUCCGAUGUGAAAUCUGGAGGCUCAACCUCCAGCGGUCAUUGGAAACCAUCUGGCUAGAGUCCGGAAGAGGAGAGUGGAAUUCCUGGUGUAGCGGUGAAAUGCGCAGAUAUCAGGAAGAACACCAAUGGCGAAGGCGGCUCUCUGGGACGGUACUGACGCUGAGACGCGAAAGCGUGGGGAGCGAACAGG